CGGACGGUGAGUACGCGUAGGAAACCUGCCGUAUACUGGGGGAUAACACUUAGAAAUAGGUGCUAAUACCGCAUAAGCGCACAGCUUCGCAUGAAGCGGUGUGAAAAACUCUGGUGGUAUACGAUGGUUCCGCGUCUGAUUAGCUAGUUGGUGGGGUAAUGGCCUACCAAGGCAACGAUCAGUAGCCGGCCUGAGAGGGUGAACGGCCACAUUGGGACUGAGACACGGCCCAAACUCCUACGGAAGGCAGCAG
This 253-nucleotide ribosomal RNA is filed under the name uncultured bacterium. Its description in RNAcentral is "partial 16S ribosomal RNA". It matches the Rfam family "Bacterial small subunit ribosomal RNA", at positions 99 to 354 of the family's 1533-position model. The record is from RNAcentral.